GCACAUGGUCCUGUUCGUACUCCAGGAUGGCGGCGUAAAGGGCCCGCUGCUCCCGUUCCUCCGGGGUCAGGGCGACUUGGCUGCAAAACCUCCUGGGGAGAAAGGCACGCGGUGGGUGCCGGGGCCAGGCCCUCCCCGCAGCGGCCCCAGGGGCGGGCAGGAGUCCCACCUGUUGGCGGCCUCCUGGAGCCGCAGCCGGCGCUCCUCCAUCUUUCUCUGGAGCUGGGUGCAGAGUCAAGGGGCCGAGCGUGGGAUCUGAGCGGGCCCUCGGUUCCCAACCCCGUCCCACACCCGGAGAGGCCGGGACGUCCCAGGGACCUCCUCUCGGUGAGGGGCUGUCCCCAGGUAAGGCUUCUGGGGCAGAAGGCAGCCUGCGCUCAAGCCAGGAGGGCCGGGCCAGAGAACAUGGGGGACGGCGGCCGGGCCUUCCCCUGAGACCCUGCCUCUGCAAAGCGGGGAGCCCCUCGGCCCUGUACCCCGACCCCGGAACCUCCGCUCCCCUCGCUGCCCCCUUCUCUGCCCUUGGCUCAAGGCCACACUGAGUUUCCCCUCGGGGACCACCAGGGCGGUCAGAAAGGCUGCUGUCUCCUCCCGGGCUUUGGCAAUCACUAGGUUCUCCAUCAUCUGCCGCUGUAGAGAGAGGGUCUGGGGGGGGAGGAGGGAGUAAGGCCGACUCCCCUCUGCCCCGCGCCCACGCACCCCCAGGCCCUCCCUAGCCCCCACUCACCAGGGAUGUCUUCUGCAUGGCCUGGCUGGGGUCUAGCCGCGCCAUUCGGGCCUCAUACGCAGCCUUCAGCUUCUGAUUCUGCAGGGAGGCCUCCUCCAGUGGCGUCAGCUCUCUGGAAAUGUGACAAGCUGCUGUCUAGACCCCAGGAAGCCCAGUGGUGUCUGGACACCAGAGGAGUCUCUCUCAUCCUCCCGGAUUGCUCUGAGGCCAGGAGGUGAGGAGAAAGAGGAGGGGAGCCAUCUGGGGUGGGCUGCAACAUCUGCCCCUUCUUGCCUGCCCUUCCAAAACACAGGUUUUGGCCAGGUGCAGUGGCUCCCGCCUCUAAUGCCAGCACUUUAGGAGGCUAAGGCCGGGCGGAUCACCUGAGGUCAGGAGUUCGAGACCAGCCUGGCCAACAUGGUGAAACUCUGUCUCUACUAAAAAUACAAAAAUUAGCUGGGCAUGGUGCACACUUGUAAUCCCAGCUACU
This 1196-nucleotide long non-coding RNA is filed under the name Homo sapiens (human). RNAcentral's name for it is "HSALNT0387859". Lineage: Eukaryota; Metazoa; Chordata; Mammalia; Primates; Hominidae. The record is from RNAcentral.